CGAGCGGCGGACGGGUGAGUAAUGCUUGGGGAACUGCCCAGUCGAGGGGGACAACUAUUGGAAACGAUAGCUAAUACCGCAUACGCCCUACGGGGGAAAGGAGGGGACUCUUCGGAGCCUUUCGCGAUUGGAUGUACCCAAGUGGGAUUAGCUAGUUGGUGAGGUAAUGGCUCACCAAGGCGACGAUCCCUAGCUGGUUUGAGAGGAUGAUCAGCCACACUGGAACUGAGACACGGUCCAGACUCCUACGGGAGGCAGCAGUGGGGAAUAUUGCACAAUGGGCGAAAGCCUGAUGCAGCCAUGCCGCGUGUAUGAAGAAGGCCUUCGGGUUGUAAAGUACUUUCAGCGAGGAGGAAAGGUUAGUAGUUAAUAACUGCUAGCUAUGACGUUACUCGCAGAAGAAGGACCGGCUAACUCCGUGCCAGCAGCCGCGGUAAUACGGAGGGUCCGAGCGUUAAUCGGAAUUACUGGGCGUAAAGCGUACGCAGGCGGUUUGUUAAGCGAGAUGUGAAAGCCCCGGGCUCAACCUGGGAACUGCAUUUCGAACUGACAAACUAGAGUUUUGUAGAGGGUGGUAGAAUUUCAGGUGUAGCGGUGAAAUGCGUAGAGAUCUGAAGGAAUACCAGUGGCGAAGGCGGCCACCUGGACAAUAACUGACGCUCAUGUACGAAAGCGUGGGGAGCAAACGGGAUUAGAUACCCCGGUAGUCCACGCCGUAAACGAUGUCAACUAGCCGACUGGUCCCUUGAGGACUGGGUGGCGCAGCUAACGCAUUAAGUUGACCGCCUGGGGAGUACGG
RNAcentral lists this ribosomal RNA (799 nucleotides) under uncultured bacterium. RNAcentral describes it as "bacterial SSU rRNA". It matches the Rfam family "Bacterial small subunit ribosomal RNA", at positions 92 to 885 of the family's 1533-position model. The record is from RNAcentral.